AUCAAAAUGAUGAAUUGCGUAGGGGUCUGAAACCAGAGAGUCCCUGUGCUCUGGGGGCUAACAGUGACUAUGGACUUGCUGAUCGCAAUGUACUGUAGCUCUGUCUGUCUGAAAAUACGCUAACUGAUUUU
Molecule: small nucleolar RNA, 131 nt
Filed under: Bombyx mori (domestic silkworm)
Lineage: Eukaryota; Metazoa; Arthropoda; Insecta; Lepidoptera; Bombycidae
Description: Bm_28
Source: RNAcentral